Molecule: ribosomal RNA, 292 nt
Filed under: uncultured bacterium
Lineage: Bacteria
Description: partial 16S ribosomal RNA
Rfam family: Bacterial small subunit ribosomal RNA
Source: RNAcentral
GUGCCAGCAGCCGCGGUAAAACGUAGGAGGCAAGCGUUAUCCGGAUUUACUGGGCGUAAAGGGCGUGCAGGUGGUUUCGUAAGUGGUGCGUGAAAGCGCCCGGCUCAACCGGGCGAGGCCGUGCCAAACUGCGAGACUGGAAACAGGCAGAGGAAAGUGGAAUUCGGGGUGUAGUGGUGAAAUGCGUAGAGAUCCCGAGGAACUCCAGUGGCGAAGGCGACUUUCUGGGCCUGCUUUGACACUCAGACGCGAAAGCAUGGGGAGCGAACGGGAUUAGAUACCCGCGUAGUCC